RNAcentral lists this ribosomal RNA (497 nucleotides) under uncultured bacterium. RNAcentral describes it as "partial 16S ribosomal RNA". It matches the Rfam family "Bacterial small subunit ribosomal RNA", at positions 28 to 507 of the family's 1533-position model. The record is from RNAcentral.
GAUGAACGCUGGCGGCGUGCCUAAUACAUGCAAGUCGAGCGAACGGACGAGAAGCUUGCUUCUCUGAUGUUAGCGGCGGACGGGUGAGUAACACGUGGAUAACCUACCUAUAAGACUGGGAUAACUUCGGGAAACCGGAGCUAAUACCGGAUAAUAUUUUGAACCGCAUGGUUCAAAAGUGAAAGACGGUCCUGCUGUCACUUAUAGAUGGAUCCGCGCUGCAUUAGCUAGUUGGUAAGGUAACGGCUUACCAAGGCAACGAUGCAUAGCCGACCUGAGAGGGUGAUCGGCCACACUGUAACUGAGACACGGUCCAGACUCCUACGGGAGGCAGCAGUAGGGAAUCUUCCGCAAUGGGCGAAAGCCUGACGGAGCAACGCCGCGUGAGUGAUGAAGGUCUUCGGAUCGUAAAACUCUGUUAUUAGGGAAGAACAUAUGUGUAAGUAACUGUGCACAUCUUGACGGUACCUAAUCAGAAAGCCACGGCUAACUACGUG